Molecule: non-coding RNA, 113 nt
Filed under: Liquorilactobacillus capillatus
Lineage: Bacteria; Bacillati; Bacillota; Bacilli; Lactobacillales; Lactobacillaceae
Also listed under: 1 other name
Description: Lactobacillus capillatus Azaaromatic sequence
Rfam family: azaaromatic riboswitch aptamer (yjdF RNA)
Source: RNAcentral
GAAUAAGAUAGUAAAAACACGGUCUGGUCGGUAGUCCAGACACUAGUUUUUAGCAGCUUAACAAACUAGUCAGUAACCUGCCUCCUUGGUUGUCCAGCUAUCAGUACCAAAAA